Molecule: long non-coding RNA, 1803 nt
Filed under: Pan troglodytes (chimpanzee)
Lineage: Eukaryota; Metazoa; Chordata; Mammalia; Primates; Hominidae
Description: uncharacterized LOC129136051 (LOC129136051)
Source: RNAcentral
AGUCACUUCCCGCUAGUUCUGUGGGCUGAGGGGCGUGGCCUGAGGGGCGUGGCCUGAGGGGCGAGAGCCCCCAAGGCUGUGGGUAUGAGGCCGGGGCCCUGCACCGGAAGGGAGGGCGGAAGCCACGGGACGUGGAGCAGAUGGUGAGGAUAGUGGGGAAGGUAGCCGCAGAGGAUGACCCGAGGCAAAAGUGCAAGUGAGGAAAAGUCGCCUUGCCGGGCAGAGGUACCGGACCAAGGCGCCUCCUCUGGGCUGAGGAGUUAGAGGGAAGAAAAUGGCGCCCUGUCAUGAGGGCGCGAGGUCCGAGUUGAGGGGAGAAGACUGAGGGGCACAGAAGUGGCCGAAGUGAGGGCGCUGAGGUCAGCCUGAGCUGAGAGGGCCGGCAGAUCACGCCGCAGCCGAAGUGAACGAACUCGAGUGAGGAAAUUACUCCAGGAUUUGAAUCAUCACAAGAGAUUCACCAGAGGAUUUUAUACACUUGGGCUGUGGCAGCAGACUAAUUACACCACAGCACUAGAGCUGAGAUACUGGCUGGGUGGAUUUCAGCAAAUUUCCAAGGUCACAUGACAUGUGGGCACAAAAGCCAGGAUUUCACACCAGGGGAUAAAGUAUAUCAGAAAUGAAGGCUGGGGCAGAUGCUGUCUGGGCUGGAUGACUAUCCUCCUCUCUGAAUAAAGUUGCUUGGGCCUGGUUGGUGAUUCUAGGAGAAGAAACCUACAAACAGUGUUCUGAUCAUAGGUCCUGCUGCCACCAGCCUCAAGAAAGACACCACUAACCUGACAGUAAAGGAAUAAUCUAAGCUGACCUACGAUGACAAAGAAGCUGGGAGAAGAGGCAUCUGCCAAGUAAAGAUUCCAACCAACCUUUGGAAGAUGGCAUGCUAACAGAGAAGUACCAAGGUCACCAGUGGUUAUGACCCAAAGUGCCCACGGAGGAGACACCAAGGCCAAUUUGUCCUGAAACAUCCCCGAGAGGUCCAAGUCUUGGAGGGAACAGGGUGGGGCUGGAAGUCUGAACAUGGAGGAGUUGUCUCCCAAGCCUUCUCCCUAUCCCAUGCAGCCAGAUGACUAAACCCACAGGUGUAAAAACAGCAUUUUCUUCCUGGAGGAAUUGAACUCAAAAGGCCCCAGACUUGUUCAGACCAGGCACAGCAGAGAACAAGACUGCAAACGGGGAUUAGGGAUACGCAUUCUGAAUGGCAGGAUUCCAGACCUUUUUCCUUCGCCUGCUCCCAGAAUGCCAACAGCCCGGGGUGUCUCCUCCAUGCCCUACCCCAAGCAAGAGAUUGGAGGACUUUUCUUUCUUUCUUUCUUUUUUCUUUUUGAGACAGAGUUUCACUCUUGUUGCCCAGGCUGGAGUGCAAUGGCGCGAUCUCGGCUCACUGCAAUCUUCGCCUCCUGGGUUCAAGCGAUUCUCCUGCUUCAGCCUCCUGAGUGGCUGGGAUUACAGGCAUGCACCACCACACCCAACUAAUUUUGUAUUUUUAGAAGAGACGGGGUUUCUCCAUGUUGGUCAGGGCGGUCUCGAACUCCCAAUCUCAGGUAAUCUGCCCACCUUGGUCUCCCAAAGUGCUGGGAUUACAGGCAUGAGCCACUGUGACCAGCCUGAGAUUGGAGGACUUUUCUUUUUAAGCUGCUAAGUCUCAAAGAAUAUGCUUUCUGCUGAUGGUAUGAUGAGAGCUCUGCACACACUUCAAUCACCUUUCAAUGAAACCCAACUGUGAGAAUCGAGCUUCCAACCACCUUUUUAAAGUUCCUUUCACGUUAGUGUUUUUUAAGAGACAACUAGAAUUUCUUUUUUCCU